Molecule: ribosomal RNA, 2923 nt
Filed under: Klebsiella pneumoniae
Lineage: Bacteria; Pseudomonadati; Pseudomonadota; Gammaproteobacteria; Enterobacterales; Enterobacteriaceae
Description: 23S ribosomal RNA
Rfam family: Bacterial large subunit ribosomal RNA
Source: RNAcentral
GGGUUGUGAGGUUAAGUGACUAAGCGUACACGGUGGAUGCCCUGGCAGUCAGAGGCGAUGAAGGACGUGCUAAUCUGCGAAAAGCGUCGGUAAGGUGAUAUGAACCGUUAUAACCGGCGAUGUCCGAAUGGGGAAACCCAGUGCAAUUCGUUGCACUAUCGUUAACUGAAUACAUAGGUUAACGAGGCGAACCGGGGGAACUGAAACAUCUAAGUACCCCGAGGAAAAGAAAUCAACCGAGAUUCCCCCAGUAGCGGCGAGCGAACGGGGAGCAGCCCAGAGUCUGAAUCAGCUUGUGUGUUAGUGGAACGGUCUGGAAAGUCCGACGGUACAGGGUGAUAGUCCCGUACACCAAAAUGCACAGGCUGUGAACUCGAAGAGUAGGGCGGGACACGUGGUAUCCUGUCUGAAUAUGGGGGGACCAUCCUCCAAGGCUAAAUACUCCUGACUGACCGAUAGUGAACCAGUACCGUGAGGGAAAGGCGAAAAGAACCCCGGCGAGGGGAGUGAAAAAGAACCUGAAACCGUGUACGUACAAGCAGUGGGAGCACCUUCGGGUGUGACUGCGUACCUUUUGUAUAAUGGGUCAGCGACUUAUAUUCUGUAGCAAGGUUAACCGUAUAGGGGAGCCGCAGGGAAACCGAGUCUUAACUGGGCGUUAAGUUGCAGGGUAUAGACCCGAAACCCGGUGAUCUAGCCAUGGGCAGGUUGAAGGUUGGGUAACACUAACUGGAGGACCGAACCGACUAAUGUUGAAAAAUUAGCGGAUGACUUGUGGCUGGGGGUGAAAGGCCAAUCAAACCGGGAGAUAGCUGGUUCUCCCCGAAAGCUAUUUAGGUAGCGCCUCGUGAAUUCAUCUUCGGGGGUAGAGCACUGUUUCGGCUAGGGGGUCAUCCCGACUUACCAACCCGAUGCAAACUACGAAUACCGAAGAAUGUUAUCACGGGAGACACACGGCGGGUGCUAACGUCCGUCGUGAAGAGGGAAACAACCCAGACCGCCAGCUAAGGUCCCAAAGUCAUGGUUAAGUGGGAAACGAUGUGGGAAGGCACAGACAGCCAGGAUGUUGGCUUAGAAGCAGCCAUCAUUUAAAGAAAGCGUAAUAGCUCACUGGUCGAGUCGGCCUGCGCGGAAGAUGUAACGGGGCUAAACCAUGCACCGAAGCUGCGGCAGCGACACUAUGUGUUGUUGGGUAGGGGAGCGUUCUGUAAGCCUGCGAAGGUGUGCUGUGAGGCAUGCUGGAGGUAUCAGAAGUGCGAAUGCUGACAUAAGUAACGAUAAAGCGGGUGAAAAGCCCGCUCGCCGGAAGACCAAGGGUUCCUGUCCAACGUUAAUCGGGGCAGGGUGAGUCGACCCCUAAGGCGAGGCCGAAAGGCGUAGUCGAUGGGAAACAGGUUAAUAUUCCUGUACUUGGUGUUACUGCGAAGGGGGGACGGAGAAGGCUAUGUUAGCCGGGCGACGGUUGUCCCGGUUUAAGCAUGUAGGCUGGUUGUCCAGGCAAAUCCGGAUAAUCAAGGCUGAGGUGUGAUGACGAGGCACUACGGUGCUGAAGUAACAAAUGCCCUGCUUCCAGGAAAAGCCUCUAAGCAUCAGGUAACAUCAAAUCGUACCCCAAACCGACACAGGUGGUCAGGUAGAGAAUACCAAGGCGCUUGAGAGAACUCGGGUGAAGGAACUAGGCAAAAUGGUGCCGUAACUUCGGGAGAAGGCACGCUGGUGUGUAGGUGAAGUCCCUGCGGAUGGAGCUGAGACCAGUCGAAGAUACCAGCUGGCUGCAACUGUUUAUUAAAAACACAGCACUGUGCAAACACGAAAGUGGACGUAUACGGUGUGACGCCUGCCCGGUGCCGGAAGGUUAAUUGAUGGGGUUAUCCGUAAGGAGAAGCUCUUGAUCGAAGCCCCGGUAAACGGCGGCCGUAACUAUAACGGUCCUAAGGUAGCGAAAUUCCUUGUCGGGUAAGUUCCGACCUGCACGAAUGGCGUAAUGAUGGCCAGGCUGUCUCCACCCGAGACUCAGUGAAAUUGAACUCGCUGUGAAGAUGCAGUGUACCCGCGGCAAGACGGAAAGACCCCGUGAACCUUUACUAUAGCUUGACACUGAACAUUGAGCCUUGAUGUGUAGGAUAGGUGGGAGGCUUUGAAGCGUGGACGCCAGUCUGCGUGGAGCCAACCUUGAAAUACCACCCUUUAAUGUUUGAUGUUCUAACGUUGGCCCCUUACCGGGGUUGCGGACAGUGUCUGGUGGGUAGUUUGACUGGGGCGGUCUCCUCCCAAAGCGUAACGGAGGAGCACGAAGGUUAGCUAAUCCUGGUCGGACAUCAGGAGGUUAGUGCAAUGGCAUAAGCUAGCUUGACUGCGAGCGUGACGGCGCGAGCAGGUGCGAAAGCAGGUCAUAGUGAUCCGGUGGUUCUGAAUGGAAGGGCCAUCGCUCAACGGAUAAAAGGUACUCCGGGGAUAACAGGCUGAUACCGCCCAAGAGUUCAUAUCGACGGCGGUGUUUGGCACCUCGAUGUCGGCUCAUCACAUCCUGGGGCUGAAGUAGGUCCCAAGGGUAUGGCUGUUCGCCAUUUAAAGUGGUACGCGAGCUGGGUUUAGAACGUCGUGAGACAGUUCGGUCCCUAUCUGCCGUGGGCGCUGGAGAAUUGAGGGGGGCUGCUCCUAGUACGAGAGGACCGGAGUGGACGCAUCACUGGUGUUCGGGUUGUCAUGCCAAUGGCACUGCCCGGUAGCUAAAUGCGGAAGAGAUAAGUGCUGAAAGCAUCUAAGCACGAAACUUGCCCCGAGAUGAGUUCUCCCUGAGACUUUAAGUCUCCUGAAGGAACGUUAAAGACGAUGACGUUGAUAGGCCGGGUGUGUAAGCGCAGCGAUGCGUUGAGCUAACCGGUACUAAUGAACCGUGAGGCUUAACCUUACAACGCCGAAG